Long non-coding RNA from Planococcus citri (citrus mealybug), 1158 nucleotides. RefSeq lists it as uncharacterized. Lineage: Eukaryota; Metazoa; Arthropoda; Insecta; Hemiptera; Pseudococcidae. The transcript has 4 exons. The record is from RefSeq and is a predicted model, not a curated record.
UGGGAAAUUUAUCAAAUGCUUGCUUAAUAUACGUUGACACGCGGAUGAAAAAAAAAUCAUUAUAAAUAUCGCCUACUGUCUAGUUCGUACUCAAAGUUACCGAAAGUUUUUGUGCCGCCGAAGUGUGUAGUAUUAGUUAUAGCUUAGUCAGUUACAAAGUGUAGCAAACAAUUGUGUUAUCAAGUAAGAAAUUAUUCAGCAUUUGAGCCUUAAGGCUAGAAUAGGUACUAAGAGUACUCGAACCAAGAAAAUAUGGAAUACGUUUGGAUAUAUGUACUUAAUAGAACCGGUUCCUAUUCUGUUAAAGUAAUUGGAUGAGAAUUAAUGUACCUAAUUCAAGUGCAACAAAAGAAUUUGGAAUUUUGAGAACCCUUUAACAUUAGGUUGAAUAAAUUACAAUCACAAUUUGCGUCGAAAAUAAUUUGUACAUCGACUUCUUGAUUCAUCGCUCACUGUUGUUAUAAACCAGUGUAAGCCCAAGUACAAAUAUGUGUAACUACAGUUCAGUUUUAGUAUUAUUUUACGCUUUGAUUUUGUUGGCUCAUAUAUCAAAAGGAAAUGGUUUGAAAUGUUAUGAGUGCGGAGGUCACAGUCAAGAUUUGGACGCAGCAACUAAAAAUUGUUUGGACGGGAAUGAAAAAGUCCCUGUACAAGAACGCAUCAUUAAUAAUAACAUUGAAAAGUAUAAAGCUGUGUGUUUCAUGGUCAAUAUCACAUCGAUAGAUGGUUAUUCAUACAUGGUGGGGCGAUCUGGAGUAAAUAAUUUGUCAAGAGAUGAUAAAAAACGCACCAGAUAACGCGUGCAAAGAGGUUUUAGGUGAUAGAAGUAAAAGAGGGGUUUGCAGUUACUGCUUUACAGAUUUCUGCAAUGGUCAGGCCCAGACUGACACAGGUGACAAGGCUAGUGAAAUUGUUGUCGCCGUUAAUACAACUUUUCGAAAAUCCAAUUGACUUAGACGAUAGAUAUUUUUAAGAAACUUUGUUUCGUUAUUUAACGUUAUGUUACGCGUUAUGUUAUUUCGUAUUUAACCAUUAAUAUUGCGACAUUCAAUAUUCAUCCGUCCAAACGACUUAAGCCCCUCUAUGUACUUGACUCGAUGUACUUGCAUUUAAUUGUAUUUUGUACAUCGUGGUAAUAAAACCCACAUUUGCUGGCGA